GUCAUCGUCACACCCCACAUGUCUGGCCCCUUUAGGCCACAAGAAGUGGUCAAGAGUUUCAUGAUCAACUUUGAAAAGUUCCUGGCAGGGCAGCCACUCAUACACAAAUUCUCGUUUGAAUCUGGAUAUUAGGUUGAAUGCCUUCAAUGCCAUGUUUUCCAAGUGCAACAGUAGUUGUACAGUAUACUAGUCACGGCUUUUAAUAUAUAAAAUAAUAUAUAUACGGAAAAUAAUAAUCAUUACAACUGUAUUUUUUUAAUAUUUACUAAUAAAUAUUGUAUUUU
This 284-nucleotide long non-coding RNA is filed under the name Dermacentor andersoni. RNAcentral describes it as "uncharacterized LOC126531308". Lineage: Eukaryota; Metazoa; Arthropoda; Arachnida; Ixodida; Ixodidae. The record is from RNAcentral.